Molecule: long non-coding RNA, 1357 nt
Organism: Pseudopipra pipra
Lineage: Eukaryota; Metazoa; Chordata; Aves; Passeriformes; Pipridae
Exons: 2
Source: RefSeq, a predicted model, not a curated record
UCCAAAGAUUUCUAGUUGAAAUGCUUCCCUUUUGAGAAGUAUGUGUGUGAUGUUGUGAUGAGGAUAUUUUUGCUAGUGUUUGGGAAACAGACUUUUUACUGCUAGUAGAACUGAAUCUGUAAUGUAGAAAAUGGCAAUUAUUAAAAAUUUUAUUCCUACUGCCACAAGGAUAUUGAGUAGGCUUUACAAUAUUUAUUAGGCAACUCAACAAAUUGUUCUAAUUUACAUAUCUCUUAAAAAAUAACACAAAACAGCUGUUAUUUUAUUAAAUUUAAGUGCCUUGUUAAUCACACCAUACUAAAGUUUUCUGAAAGCAGCAAUUUAAGAGGGGGAAAAAUCAUCUUCUGAGAGGCAGAAGAUUAAUUUCUGCUCCAUAUCUAGCUGCUUUUCCAAACUUCAGAGUUCAGAUUUUGUUUUCCUGUCCCUUGGGAGGAGUUGCUCCUAACUGGUAGUGCUGUUGCUGAGAGAUUUGGUUCAUUAAUAUCUGAGAUAUAUAUGUGUGGAAAGAAGCAGAGUAUUAAAAGAAGAAUGUGUCUGUUAGGUCUGUGACAGAGGGUAGCACUUGACCUUAUUAAUUGGAUUUUUCCUGUGGGAUGAUAAGUAAAAAGCUGUAUCACUUUGUGAAAGAGUUAUGGGUCAGGUAUUUUUCACCUAUGCUUCGUCAAUAGAUUCCUCUUCCAGUUUAAGGUCAUUUUACCAUCAUUUCAAAUUUUUACUGCUGUUGUCUCUGCCUUAUGGGCUUUUUAACUGAAUGAGUGUUUUCAGGUUGACAUAAGGGCAGCUGUCUGCACUAAAGCCAGUACAGCAUUUGGGAAUGGGUGUGUGACCCUUUUAGCUGUUGCCUGUAAGCUCUAUCAAAGAAGUAAAGGUUUUGACCUAUAAAGCUAUUAAUGGCUAGUAGCAGAGGUUUUUUUGUGUGCCUGUGGGAAAUUUCUCCUUUUGUAUCUAAGAGAUGGAACAGCUGCCAGAGAAUUCCCUGCACCUCUGAAAUUCUCUUCUUCCCACUCCCUGAAAUAGCUGUAAUUUGCCAGUCCUACGAGGCACUUUUGUUUUCACCAGGCCUUUGAGGAAUCUGAAGGCAACUGUAAAUAAGCAAACCUAAGGCUUGUAAGAGAAACCACAACUGUAAUGUGCUACAAGAAGUGGUGAAGCUGAGAAUGGAAGAGGAGCAAGAGGAGCCUCAUUUUCAAGUUUCAGGGUGUAGAGAAAAUCCUCGGGUACUUGGAAAUGGGUUACAACCACUCUCUGGAGGAAAGGACAAGUUUUCUUUCCUGGACACAGCUAUGAUGAUUAGUUUAGUCCAGGAAUAUACCAUCAGGGCACAUUGGUCACAAAAUAAAAGAACUCACUGCAACAA